GCAGCAACACCAGCAACGCGCGUACACGCACGCCACUAUCACGCCCACACAGUCACGUAACCCUUUUCCUCUCUCUCUCUCUUUACAUGCGAAAGAAGAUGAACGCAGUCGACCAGGCAUUCAUGGCGAGUCUGGACGCAAAGUCCAACGUGCACCAGCUGGCCAGCGGCAUGCGCUUCAAGAUCGUGAAGAAGGUGACUGACACGGCUUCCACAAAGUCGCCGAACGUGUCGGACCCGUGCUCGGUGCACUACCACGGCUCCCUGACGAAUGGCAAGGUGUUCGACAGCUCUAUGGAUCGCGGCCACCCCGCCACAUUUUCGCCGAGCCAGGUGAUCAAGGGAUGGACGGAGGCCCUCCAGUACAUGGUGGAGGGAGAGGAAUGGGAGGUUUACUUGCCUCCGGAUCUGGCGUACGGCACGCGCGGUGCCGGCGGUGUCAUUCCGCCGAACGCGGCUCUCGUGUUCAAGAUCCGCCUGCUGAAGGUGAUGCAGGGCGGCAAGCCGGGUGAGGACGGCCACAGGAAACUGGAGCAGGCCCUCUCCAAGGCCUACGCGGAGCUUUGAGCGGCUUCCCCGCUGUCAGGCCGGAGGUGCGGCAGGGGCGCGGUGGCGGUGGCGGUCGGCUAGGAUGGCGGGGAGCUGUGUACUGCGCGGACAGAUGGAGAAGUCAGAGCGGCAGAGAUGAUGAGUUUCGCAGUGGAUGCGGGGUGGCAUAUAGGUGCGUCACACAUCGAUCCCUCCCCUUCUCCCUCGCACUACCCGCGUUGUGGGGCACCUCUCUGUUGGGCAACGCUCCCUGCUCCUUCCUCCAUGAUGUAGAUGGUGGUCAGUGGGUGUGGGCCCUUCCUCCCACGUCUAGGUUUUCCGUUUUUUUUGUGUGUGUGUGUUCUUCUUGUAACGCCUUCUGGUGUCUCCUCU
This 920-nucleotide unclassified non-coding RNA is filed under the name Leishmania donovani. RNAcentral describes it as "gene:LdHU3.10.1300(CDS-product:FKBP-type_peptidyl -prolyl_cis-trans_isomerase_putative)". Lineage: Eukaryota; Euglenozoa; Kinetoplastea; Trypanosomatida; Trypanosomatidae. The record is from RNAcentral.